Molecule: ribosomal RNA, 253 nt
Filed under: uncultured bacterium
Lineage: Bacteria
Description: partial 16S ribosomal RNA
Rfam family: Bacterial small subunit ribosomal RNA
Source: RNAcentral
UACAGAGGGGGCAAGCGUUGUUCGGAAUUACUGGGCGUAAAGGGCGCGUAGGUGGCCUUCUAAGUUGAACGUGAAAUCCCUGGGCUCAACCCAGGAACUGCGUCCAAGACUGGGAGGCUUGAAUCCGGGAGAGGGAUGCGGAAUUCCAGGUGUAGCGGUGAAAUGCGUAGAUAUCUGGAGGAACACCGGUGGCGAAGGCGGCACCCUGGACCGGUAUUGACACUGAGGCGCGAAAGCCAGGGGAGCAAACGGG